This 484-nucleotide ribosomal RNA is filed under the name uncultured bacterium. RNAcentral's name for it is "partial 16S ribosomal RNA". It matches the Rfam family "Bacterial small subunit ribosomal RNA", at positions 29 to 507 of the family's 1533-position model. The record is from RNAcentral.
AUUGAACGCUGGCGGCAGGCCUAACACAUGCAAGUCGAGCGGAUGAAGGGAGCUUGCUCCUGGAUUCAGCGGCGGACGGGUGAGUAAUGCCUAGGAAUCUGCCUGGUAGUGGGGGGUAACGUCCGGAAACGGGCGCUAAUACCGCAUACGUCCUGAGGGUGAAGGUGGGGGGUCUUCGGACCUCCCGCUCGCAGGUGAGCCUAGGUGGGAUUAGUUAGUUGGUGGGGUAAGGGCCUACCAAGCCGCGGAUCGGUAACUGGUCGGACAGGAUGAUCGGUCACAAUGGAACGGAGACACGGACCAGAGGCCUACGGGAGGCAGCAGUGGGGAAUAGUAGACAAUAGGGGGAAGUAUGAUCCAGCCAUGCCGAGUGUGUGGAGAAGGUGUUCGGAUUGUAAAGAACUUCAUGUGGGGGGGAAGGGCAGUAAGUUAAUACCUUGCUGUUUUGACGGUACCAGCAGAAGAAGCACCGGCUAACUACGUG